AUUGAACGCUGGCGGCAGGCCUAACACAUGCAAGUCGAGCGGAUGACGGGAGCUUGCUCCUGGAUUCAGCGGCGGACGGGUGAGUAAUGCCUAGGAAUCUGCCUGGUAGUGGGGGAUAACGUCCGGAAACGGGCGCUAAUACCGCAUACGUCCCGAGGGAGAAAGUGGGGGAUCUUCGGACCUCACGCUAUCAGAUGAGCCUAGGUCGGAUUAGCUAGUUGGUGGGGUAAAGGCCUACCAAGGCGACGAUCCGUAACUGGUCUGAGAGGAUGAUCAGUCACACUGGAACUGAGACACGGUCCAGACUCCUACGGGAGGCAGCAGUGGGGAAUAUUGGGCAAUGGGCGAAAGCCUGAUCCAGCCAUGCCGCGUGUGUGAAGAAGGUCUUCGGAUUGUAAAGCACUGUAAGUUGGGAGGAAGGGCAGUAAGUUAAUACCUUGCGGUUUUGACGGUACCAACAGAAUAAGCACCGGCUAACUUCGUG
This 484-nucleotide ribosomal RNA is filed under the name uncultured bacterium. RNAcentral's name for it is "partial 16S ribosomal RNA". It matches the Rfam family "Bacterial small subunit ribosomal RNA", at positions 30 to 507 of the family's 1533-position model. The record is from RNAcentral.